AGUCGAGCGAACGGACGAGAAGCUUGCUUCUCUGAUGUUAGCGGCGGACGGGUGAGUAACACGUGGAUAACCUACCUAUAAGACUGGGAUAACUUCGGGAAACCGGAGCUAAUACCGGAUAAUAUUUUGAACCGCAUGGUUCAAAAGUGAAAGACGGUCUUGCUGUCACUUAUAGAUGGAUCCGCGCUGCAUUAGCUAGUUGGUAAGGUAACGGCUUACCAAGGCAACGAUGCAUAGCCGACCUGAGAGGGUGAUCGGCCACACUGGAACUGAGACACGGUCCAGACUCCUACGGGAGGCAGCAUUAGGGAAUCUUCCGCUAUGGGCGAAAGCCUGACGGAGCAACGCCGCGUGAGUGAUGAAGGUCUUCGGAUCGUAAAACUCUGUUAUUAGGGAAGAACAUAUGUGUAAGUAACUGUGCACAUCUUGACGGUACCUAAUCAGAAAGCCAUGGCUAACUACGUGCCAGCAGCCGCGGUAAUACGUAGGUGGCAAGCGUUAUCCGGAAUUAUUGGGCGUAAAGCGCGCGUAGGCGGUUUUUUAAGUCUGAUGUGAAAGCCCACGGCUCAACCGUGGAGGGUCAUUGGAAACUGGAAAACUUGAGUGCAGAAGAGGAAAGUGGAAUUCCAUGUGUAGCGGUGAAAUGCGCAGAGAUAUGGAGGAACACCAGUGGCGAAGGCGACUUUCUGGUCUGUA
Molecule: ribosomal RNA, 696 nt
Filed under: uncultured Staphylococcus sp.
Lineage: Bacteria; Bacillati; Bacillota; Bacilli; Caryophanales; Staphylococcaceae
Description: bacterial SSU rRNA
Rfam family: Bacterial small subunit ribosomal RNA
Source: RNAcentral